GAUACGAUUCUAAGAGAAUCGAGAUUAAGAUUAGAUAGACCUGGAGUGGAUUCCUGUCUUAGAUCCAAGACCCAAAGAUCAAGGAUAUCCAAGACUCAAGCAACGGGAAUAUAUCCCUGAAAUCAAGACUUAGCCCAAGGUGGUCAAUGCGGUUAAGCAAACCAGUUGGGGGCUCGAUUCGGCUGGACUGAAGAUCGAUCGGAGACGGGCGGAGAGAUGGCUGUGACGACGGUGAUGGCGCAGGUGUACUCGACGGCAGUCGGAGGAAAUUAGGGUUGGAAUUUCGGGGAGCAAAAUGAUUGUCAAAUUUCUUAAUAAUUCUGUUAUUGUAUUACAGACUUUUAUAUUUUAAUUGAAUUGAAAAUACUCUAAUACUUAAGGAGUCUUUUGCAAAAUUUUAAAAUUAAAUAGGUCUUCAAAUUCUGAUUUAGCCACUUCCCAUUGAGUCCAUCACGUAGUCCUUGAAGCGCGCCGGCGUCUUCUUGGUUCGACUCGGCCUGUGGUAGGCUGAACCCGGUUCACUGUCUUCAAACGACCUCGAGCCAACGUCUUCUUCCCCAAUCUGUCCGCCUAGGUCUUCCCCGCAUAGCAGCGAUGUCACCGGUGGCGUCGUCGUAGUCCAAUGUGAUCGUAUCAUCACUCCCGCCUUCGAAACUGACCUUGUCCUCAAGGUUUAGAGAUGGAAAAGAUUUGUUCAGCUCCUCCAACGAUUCCCAGGAUGAAUCUUCUGGUAAGGCACCGUUCCAUUGAACCAGUAGUUGUUUUUCUUGUUUUCUUCCUUGCAAUACGGUUCUAUUAUCCAGAAUAGCCAAUGGGUAGAUUACUGGUUUGUUGUCGACAGUUAUGAGAGGAUCUAAAAGACAACCAUUUCCCUGGACUUCACCGAUAUAAGGCUUCAAUCUGGAAAUGUGGAACACAUUGUGUAUCCUACUCCCCUCAGGUAGACUUAAUUGAUAGGCCACUCUACUGAUUUUUUUUGAUAUUUUAUAUGGGCCAAAAUAUCUUUGGCUAAGUUUGUAGUGCAUUCUGUUUGCAAGUGAAUUUUGUCUGUAGGGCUGAAGUUUUACUAAUACCCAAGCUCCCUCUUCAAAGGAGUGAUCUGUUCUCUUUUUAUCCGCUUGUAAUUUCAUUCUGUUCUGAGCUUUCACUAAGUUCUCCUUGAGUUUGAUUAAUGUAUCUUCUCUGAUCUAUAGUUGUAUAUCAACUUCCUCAAUAGUAGAAUGUCCAGAAUUGUAGUUUGGUAUUUCAGUUGAUUCUUUACCAUACAAAGCCUUAAAAGGUGUCAUUUUAAGAGAAGAAUGAUAGCUAGAGUUGUACCAUAAUUCUGCCCAAGGAAGAAUUUUCAACCAAUUUUUAGGAUCUUCAUGACAAAAAGAUCUCAAAUACAUUUCUAAUAUUCUGUUCACCACCUCAGUUUGUCCAUCUGUUUCCGGAUGAUAUGAGGAUGAAUAUAGUAGUUUAGUGCCACUUAACCUGUGAAGCUCCUUCCAAAACUUGGAAGUGAAGAUUCUGUCUCUAUCCGAUACUAUAGUGCUUGGAAUACCAUGUAAUUUGAUGAUAUCUUUUAGGAAUACCUCAGCUACCUUUGAUGCAUUAAAAUUGGGAGGAAGCGGACUGAAAUGGGCAAACUUGGUUAGUCUGUCCACCACAACCAUAAUUAUUGUUUUUCCUUCUACUCUUGGUAGAUCAGUGAUAAAAUCCAUGCUAAUAUCUUUCCACACCUCAGAAGGAAUUGGCAAUGGCAUGAGUAAUCCUGAAGGCUUUUGGUUCAAAGGCUUUAUUUUCUGACAGACCUCACAAUUUCUUACAUAUUCAUAGAUCAUCUUUCCCAUUUUAGGCCAAUAAAAUAAUUUAAAAAUCCUCAUUUUUGUUCUCUGGUAACCAGCAUGACCACCUAGCAAGGAGCAAUGAUAUUCCCACAUGAUUUUAGGAAUUAAAUUAGAUUCUUCAUCAACAUAAUACCUUCCUUUGUAAUAUAAGAUUCCCUCUUUAACUGUGAAUCCCGAUAAGCCUUCACUUGUCUCUGAAUACUUCUGUAUUAAAGUCUGAAUUUUAGUAUUUUCCUCACCUUCUUUCUUCAAGUCCUCCAUAAGAGUGUUGAACUGUGUGAUUAAUGCUAACAGUGAUCCAGGAGCCUCUUCUGAAUUGCUGGAAAACAAAACCUCCUCUUCUUCUUCAAAUGACCUUGAUAAAGCAUCUGCUACUACAUUCUCUUUUCCAGGUUUAUAGAUGAUAGAAAAAUCGAAACCUAGUAAUUUGCAUAAAAAUGCCUGCUGCUCCGGAGUUUGAAUGACCUGAGUUAGAAGGUUCUUUAAGCUUUUAUGGUCGGUCCUGAUAAUAAAAUGGGACCCCAAAAGAUAGUGCCUCCACUUACUCACUGCUUGAGUAAUAGCAUACAUUUCUUUCACAUAAAUAGAUGCCGAGCUUAUCCUACCUGAUAACUUGCAACUAUAAAAGGAUAUAGGAUGAUGCUCUUGGGUCAGAACUGCCCCAAUACCACUAUUACAGGCAUCUGUUUCUAUUUCAAAUUUCUUGGAGAAAUCUGGAAAAUUCAGAACAGGGACUGUGGUCAUUGCUGUCUUAAGUUUUUUGAAACUGGAAUUUGCUGAAUCACUCCACUUAAAAGAAUCUUUCUUCAAUAAAUCCGUCAUGGCAGCUGCUAUCUGAGCAUAUCCUUUAACAAACCUUCUGUAAUAGCCAGUUAAGCCCAAAAAUCCUCUUAGUUUCUUUAAAUUUUUAGGAAUGGGCCAAUCCACCAUAGCUUUUAUCUUUUCAGGAUCAGGAUGUACACCAUCUGCUGCAAUGAUAUGGCCAAGAAACCCCAUUGAAUUCUUCCCAAAACUACAUUUAGACAGUUUGGCCAGCAAUCUGUUAUUUCUUAGAGUUUCAAACACUAUUUUUAGAUGCACCUUGUGGUCUUGGAGAGAAGAGCUGUAGACCAAUAUAUCAUCAAAGAAUAUAAUUACGAAUUUUCUUAGAUACUUACUGAAGACUGAGUUCAUCACCGAUUGGAAUGUUGCUGGUGCGUUAGUAAGCCCAAAAGGCAUUACUAAAAACUCGAAAUGUCCCUGGUGAGUCCUAAAAGCUGUUUUCUCUGUAUGUGGUGGGUGUACUCUGAUCUGGUGGAAUCCAGAUCUCAAGUCCAACUUAGAAAAAAUUGUUGAACCUUUCAACUCGCCAAGAAGCUCAUCUACAGUGGGGAUAGGGAAUUUAUCCUUUACUGUUAGUGCAUUAAGGGCUCUGUAGUCCACGCACAACCUGUAACCUCCAUCUUUCUUCUUCACUAACAGUACUGGUGAAGAGUACGGACUACUGCUGGGUUGGAUAAUUUUCUGAUUUAACAUCUCAGAAAUCAGUUUCUCUAUCUCAGUUUUUUGGAACUGAGGGUAUCUGUAUGGCCUCACAUUCACCGGAUUUGAUUGUGGUUCCAGAUGAAUAUAGUGGUCCCUCUUUCUUUGGGGUGGUAGGCCAGCUGGUGAGUCAAAAAUAUCUGUGAAUUCUUGUAUAAUUGGGGUAAGUUCAGCUUCAUGAGUUUCAAUCUGUGGGAAUUCCAGAUUUUUAUCCACUUUUUCUAAGUAACAUAUAUAAGCUUCUUGGGUAGAUGCACUAAGACACUUUAGCUGUCCAGUAGUGAGGGGGUCUUCGGAUAUCCAAGGACAUCCAUGCCAUACGAUUGUAUUGCCCUCCUUAUCGAAUUUCAUCCAUAAUUUAUCAAAAUCAAAUGUUACGGGUCCUAAAGUUUUCAGACCUUGUAUACCGAUGACCAUGUUGGAUCCAGCCAUAGGUAGGAGGAAAAUAUCCAUUUUUAUACUCGUACCCUGAAUUUUUAUCUCCACAUCCUUACAAACUUUGUCACAAAUUAACUUUUCUCCACUUCCCGUGGAUACUUUAAAGGGAAUAAUAAUAUGAAUGGUCAAUUUGAGUGCCUUGGCCACCUCUACUUGCAUAAAAUUGUGAGUUGAUCCUGUGUCUACCAACACACUCACACACUGAUAUUUAAUGUACCCAUCUAACCUGAUUGUGUUAGAAUUAAUAUGACCCUCAAAAGCACUGAAGCUGAUUUCUGUUUGGCUUCCUUGUAUUAACUCUUCUGGUCCGUCCUCCUGGACAAUAGGCACCUCAUCUUCCACUUCCCAGAAACAUGAUUCAUCUGCUGAAAGUCUGAAAAUUUUUCCUUUGCAUUUAUGACCUGACACAUACUUGUCAUCACAAUUAAAACAAAGACCCUUUGCAGUCCUCUCCUUUCUCUCGGCAGGAGACAAUCUUUUGAAUACCGGAAUUUUUGAAGUAUUUCCUGAACCAGAAUUUUGUGCAAUUGAAACAGAGUUUUGUGUCAUUGUACUAGUGUCUGAAUCACCUUUAGGAAUGAAAGGUACUAUUUUUUGUGAUUUAUUUCCUUGAUACUUGUAGCUUGAUCCUUUAUAACCCCCUGAUCUGGCCUCAAUCUUUCUAGAUAAUUCCAUUGCUUCAUGUAUGUCAACGGGCUUGUAUCUUAAUACUUCAGUUUGAAUGUAUUCUUUAAGACCGGAAAUAUACAUUUUGAAUAUGAAAUACUCAGGAAGUCCUAGAACUUUAGUGCAUAAAUCUUCGAACAUAGCUUGAUAUUCAAUCACUGAGCCCUCUUGGCAGAGCUUGCUUAGUUGACCUCCGGGAGAGAGUAAUGCCAAUUUGUAAAUUUUCGGAUCACAGCAUCAACAAAAUUUUUCCAUGUCGAUAAUAAAUUGCUUGCUUCUAGCCAAGCAAACCAUUUUUUUGCUAUCCCAUCCAGAUGAAAGGACACUAUUAGUAACUUCUGAUCUUCUGGUAUUUUAUUAAAAAUGAAAUACCUUCUUACUGAAAAUAACCAGCCCUCUGCCUCUGUGCCAUCGAACCUAGGCAUAUUGACUUUAAUAUGUUUUGCCGGUGAGUAACUAUCAUUUUGGGUGAUACUUGAUGCAUACGUAGGGUUAUCCAAGUCUACAACCGAUUUGUAAUUUUGGUUGGGACUCUGUGAUUUGCCUGUAUCAUUGGGCAGCAAAUCUGGAGGUUUUUCUUUAAAAUUAUUACAAAGUUCUUGUAUCUGCCUUCCUAGCUCCAAAAAGUUGCUAUUAACUGUUGUUCUAAACUCUCCCAUUUCUUUAAUUUGUGACAUUUGCAGAUUUUGUAGACGGAGAAAAUCUGGAUUAUUAGAGAUAUCGACAGCAGUCAUCCUGAAAUAAUGAGUUCAAAGUUGUUGAAAGCACCAGUGAUACGAUUCUAAGAGAAUCGAGAUUAAGAUUAGAUAGACCUGGAGUGGAUUCCUGUCUUAGAUCCAAGACCCAAAGAUCAAGGAUAUCCAAGACUCAAGCAACGGGAAUAUAUCCCUGAAAUCAAGACUUAGCCCAAGGUGGUCGAUCAAUGCGGUUAAGCAAACCAGUUGGGGGCUCGAUUCGGCUGGACUGAAGAUCGGUCGGAGACGGGCGGAGAGAUGGCUGUGACGACGGUGAUGGCGCAGGUGUACUCGACGGCAGUCGGAGGAAAUUAGGGUUGGAAUUUCGGGGAGCAAAAUGAUUGUCAAAUUUCUUAAUAAUUCUGUUAUUGUAUUACAGACUUUUAUACUUUAAUUGAAUUGAAAAUACUCUAAUACUUAAGGAGUCUUUUGCAAAAUUUUAAAAUUAAAUAGGUCUUCAAAUUCUGAUUUAGCCACUUCCCAUUGAGUCCAUC
RNAcentral lists this long non-coding RNA (5682 nucleotides) under Zostera marina. RNAcentral's name for it is "long non-coding RNA (ZMAR_LNC005464)". The record is from RNAcentral. Lineage: Eukaryota; Viridiplantae; Streptophyta; Magnoliopsida; Alismatales; Zosteraceae.